GCUGUCGGCCAUAGGCGAUGGGGAAACACCCGUUCCCUUUCCGAACACGGAAGUUAAGCCCAUCGCCGCGCUACCGAGUACUGGUGCCGAGAGGCAUCGGGAAAGGGGCGUGCUGACAGCG
RNAcentral lists this ribosomal RNA (121 nucleotides) under Candidatus Bathyarchaeota archaeon. The record is from RNAcentral. Lineage: Archaea; Thermoproteati; Candidatus Bathyarchaeota. RNAcentral also lists the same sequence under 1 other name.